Long non-coding RNA from Mus musculus (house mouse), 1998 nucleotides. RefSeq annotates it as predicted gene, 35252. The transcript has 4 exons. The record is from RefSeq and is a predicted model, not a curated record. Lineage: Eukaryota; Metazoa; Chordata; Mammalia; Rodentia; Muridae.
AGAAGUACUGGGAUUUGAGAGAACGUUUUUAUGACAGGCCAGAGUGCUAAAAAAUAACUAAACCAGUGCAAUCUCCAGGCACAAUCAACAUCUAGGUCUCCUGGAAUUUGGUUGACUGCAAAACAACUGGCUUACUUGGGGUGUGUAACAGGAUGAAGGCAGUAAACGGUGCAUACUCACAGGUGCCCGUGGAGGCCAGAAGAGGGCAUUUGAUCCUCUGGAACUGGAGCUUAAGCGUUCGUGAGCAGCCCAUUGUGGGAGUGGGAACCAAAGCCAGGUCCUCUGGAAGCAUAGCAAAUGGGAGGAGUGGGCCCUGGUUCCUGAGCCUGAGAGAGCUACUUGAAGAGCUACAACUCACUGAGAAACAUACAGUGGUGAGGCAAGUGAUUUGGCUCUAACACAGCCCGCCGGAGUCCCUCUGUGGUCACUGACUUGCUAUAUGAAGCCGCUUGAGUGGAGGAAGCGUGGCGGACUGCUCAUCAAAUGAGGCCGGGAUGCCACUCAGCUGGGAGGUGUUUUGAGAAGGGGAUCUGUUUUUGUCUCAGCAGCUAGAACAUAGUGCACACAGAGGAGUCAUGAUAUAGGUAUUUUGUGAAUGUAUGAAUUCCUGUUUUCUUGCGGUUCAGUUAGAUUCUGUCCCUGCUGAUCAAAGGAAGUCAUUUCACACUCUCUCUUUGUGGAGGCAAAUGGACUGGAGCUCCGUCAUCCACGACUUCAUCGGGAGCCCUUCCACGCUGAUGCAAACGGGGGCAAUUUCAGUCUGACCUCAGGAUCAGUAUUUGGAUGUUGAAGUCCCUUCUGGAGAUCUCAUCCUUGGCCUUGGUUCACAGGACAAAUGCUGAUGGAGCUCAGUCAGAGAUAAUCAGAGGGUGGAAUGACUUCACCCAAGACCGCACAGCUAGACACAAGCAAGCUGGAUUGGAGCUCUGAGGGGUCCACGUGCAGUUCAGGAUGGCUGCCUCUCCAAGGACCAAGGGUAUUACCCUGUAGAGAAGUUGUUGAGCUCAAACCAGGAAAGGGUGAUUUUUGUUUUUGUUUUAUUUUAUUAUUAUUAUUUUUUUUAUGUCAAGCCUGUUGUUGGCUUUAGGGAAAUGGACAGAGGUACAUAAAACAUGGGCUCCAGGACUGGCAAACACAAAUGGUCAAGUGACUUUUAUAUCCAUGGACAAUGAGAACAUGAAGAUACCAAAGCAGCAGAUGAUGGAGUCUUGGGAUAGUGUCUUCUCCUCCCCACCCCCCAUCAUGCUGGGCAUCAAGGCCAGGACCGUGUGCAUAGUAGGUAUACACUCUAUCUUUGGACUACAUCCUCAGCGUUGGCACAGUGCUUAGGAAAAAUGAUUUAUCUGACUCAUUAUCCUCAAGAGCAGGUGUGUCUCCUCUACCAAAAAUGGGCCACACCCCCAUUCUUGCUCUCUGUAUACUCGGUUGAAAAAGUCAGUGUCAAAAUCCAAGAGCCAGCAGCACUGGUGUGGCUUUUCAGAGUUACUGCCAUGUCUGGGACACUUGGGUCAUCCUCAUAACUCUAGAAGCUAAUUAUAUUAAUAUUCAUGGAGAGCAAGAGCCUGUGUAAAGGGGAUUCAGAGUUCCAUUGUCUCAGCGCACUUUGAUAUUAAAUGAAUAAGUAAUGUGGAUUACAUCUAAAUGAAAUAAGCACGUCAGCAUUGUUCUUUUUAAGUCAACAAUUUGAGCUUUUUAAAAACACUCAUUAUUAAAGGUUACAGACGUAUUCUUUUUUUCCUAUGCUUCAAUCAAGAAUGUAAUAUUAAUCUACCAUUAGCCGAGCAAUGCUAUUGCUGUUUUCCUUACAUCUGGUCCACUCUUAUCACCUCUGGAAAUAGGAGAAGAGUUAAGAUUGCUGGAGUAUUACUCUAGGCAAGCUUGCCAUUCCUUUGUUCUUUUUGUAAGUGAUUAUGCAUGUAUGUCUGUCAUUGUCUCCAUAUUCCCCUGAAUUUCUUUGUACAGAGCUGAGCUGAGCAAAUAAAGCAGGGCAAAACAUGA